UGGGGAAUCUUGCGCAAUGGGCGAAAGCCUGACGCAGCGACGCCGCGUGUGCGAUGAAGGUCUUCGGAUCGUAAAGCACUGUCGCCCGGGAAAAAAGUCCAGCAAUGGAAUUGAUGGUACCGGGAGAGGAAGCACCGGCUAACUCUGUGCCAGCAGCCGCGGUAAUACAGAGGGUGCGAGCGUUGUUCGGAAUUAUUGGGCGUAAAGCGCAUGUAGGCGGCGUAUUAAGUCGCGUGUGAAAGCCCCAGGCUCAACCUGGGAAGUGCGCGCGAAACUGGCGUGCUUGAGUGCUGGAGAGGGUGGCGGAAUUCCCGGUGUAGAGGUGAAAUUCGUAGAUAUCGGGAGGAACACCAGAGGCGAAGGCGGCCACCUGGACAGACACUGACGCUGAGACGCGAAAGCGUGGGGAGCAAACAGGAUUAGAUACCCCCGUAGUCC
This 438-nucleotide ribosomal RNA is filed under the name uncultured bacterium. Its description in RNAcentral is "bacterial SSU rRNA". It matches the Rfam family "Bacterial small subunit ribosomal RNA", at positions 355 to 796 of the family's 1533-position model. The record is from RNAcentral.